This 504-nucleotide ribosomal RNA is filed under the name uncultured bacterium. RNAcentral describes it as "partial 16S ribosomal RNA". It matches the Rfam family "Bacterial small subunit ribosomal RNA", at positions 30 to 523 of the family's 1533-position model. The record is from RNAcentral.
AUUGAACGCUGGCGGCAGGCCUAACACAUGCAAGUCGAACGGUAGCACAGAGAGCUUGCUCUCGGGUGACGAGUGGCGGACGGGUGAGUAAUGUCUGGGAAACUGCCCGAUGGAGGGGGAUAACUACUGGAAACGGUAGCUAAUACCACAUAACGUCGCAAGACCAAAGUGGGGGACCUUCGGGCCUCACACCAUCGGAUGUGCCCAGAUGGGAUUAGCUAGUAGGUGGGGUAAUGGCUCACCUAGGCGACGAUCCCUAGCUGGUCUGAGAGGAUGACCAGCCAAACUGGAACUGAGACACGGUCCAGACUCCUACGGGAGGCAGCAGUGGGGAAUAUUGCACAAUGGGCGCAAGCCUGAUGCAGCCAUGCCGCGUGUAUGAAGAAGGCCUUCGGGUUGUAAAGUACUUUCAGCGGGGAGGAAGGCUGUGAAGUUAAUAACUUCACCGAUUGACGUUACCCGCAGAAGAAGCACCGGCUAACUCCGUGCCAGCCGCCGCAGUAA